RNAcentral lists this ribosomal RNA (253 nucleotides) under uncultured bacterium. RNAcentral describes it as "partial 16S ribosomal RNA". It matches the Rfam family "Bacterial small subunit ribosomal RNA", at positions 524 to 776 of the family's 1533-position model. The record is from RNAcentral.
UACGUAGGCAGCAAGCGUUGUUCGGAAUUACUGGGCGUAAAGAGUGUGUAGGCGGUGCUCUAAGUCUGUUGUGAAAUCUCCCGGCUUAACCGGGAGGGUGCGGCGGAAACUGGAGUGCUUGAGGGUGGGAGAGGUAAGCGGAAUUCCUGGUGUAGCGGUGGAAUGCGUAGAGAUCCGGAAGAACACCAGUGGCGAAGGCGGCCCGCUGGGUAGUGGCUGACGCUGAAGCGCGACAGCGUGGGGAGCAAACAGG